This 915-nucleotide ribosomal RNA is filed under the name Triticum aestivum (bread wheat). RNAcentral describes it as "partial small subunit ribosomal RNA". The record is from RNAcentral. Lineage: Eukaryota; Viridiplantae; Streptophyta; Magnoliopsida; Poales; Poaceae.
AUGGCGGCUGAAGGCGGUGGCGUCCGGGCGCUGUCCCAGCGCGAGCAGGACAUCCAGAUGAUGCUCGCCGCCGACGUCCACCUCGGCACCAAGAACUGCGACUUCCAGAUGGAGCGCUACGUCUACAAGCGCCGCACUGACGGCAUUUACAUCAUCAACCUUGGCAAGACCUGGGAGAAGCUUCAGAUGGCCGCAAGGGUCAUUGUUGCCAUUGAAAACCCUCAGGAUAUCAUUGUGCAAUCUGCUAGGCCCUAUGGACAGAGGGCUGUCCUCAAGUUUGCCCAGUACACUGGUGCUAACGCCAUUGCUGGAAGGCACACUCCUGGUACAUUCACCAACCAGAUGCAGACUUCAUUCAGUGAGCCACGCCUUCUUAUCCUGACCGACCCCAGGACUGAUCACCAGCCUAUCAAGGAGUCUGCACUUGGAAACAUCCCCACCAUUGCCUUCUGCGACACUGACUCUCCUAUGCGUUACGUUGAUAUUGGCAUUCCUGCUAACAACAAGGGGAAGCAGAGCAUUGGUUGCCUAUUUUGGCUGCUCGCCAGGAUGGUUCUGCAGAUGCGUGGUACCAUUCUCCCAGGACACAAGUGGGAAAUCAUGGUUGAUCUGUUCUUCUACAGGGACCCAGAGGAAGCUAAGGAGCUUGAGGAAGAUGAGGCUUUGGGUGCUCCUGAGUACGCUGCAGUUGCAGAGUACACUGCCCCAGCGGGAGAUACCUGGGGUGCUGAAUGGCCAGGAGCUGCAGCUCCAGCUGCUGCCGUCGAAGCCCCGGCUGGUGCUGAGUGGACUGGUGCUCCAGCUCCUGCGGCCGAUGGAUGGGAUGCCGUUGCAGCACCUGCCCCUACUGGCUGGGAACAGGGCAGUGCUCCGGCACCUGCAGCAGCACCAGCUGCUACUCAGAACUGGGAGUGA